Molecule: non-coding RNA, 2662 nt
Organism: Cinara cedri
Lineage: Eukaryota; Metazoa; Arthropoda; Insecta; Hemiptera; Aphididae
Source: the annotation of a GenBank genome assembly
AUAACUUAAAUACAUGAUCAUAAAAUAAUUAAUUUAAAAUAAUUUACUUAUAAAAUAGCUGUUUAAUAAAAAUAAAAAUAAUAUUUAAUUUAAUACUUAUAACUACUAUAAUUAAUAUUAAUAAUAUUAGAACUUCACUUUUCUAUCUUUUAAUUCAGAAAUUGUUUGAUUGCUUCUAUAUAAUUUACUUUUUUGGCUAAAUCAUUUUCAAUUGAGUUUAUUAUCUGUCAUCGAGGAAUGCCAAAAGAUGUUCAGAAAAGGGUUAUUGUUCCAGAUUAUAUAGAAACCUCUCCAAUUGCUAAUGAUUUUCAAAAUUAUUAAAUAUUUCUUUUAUAGAACUGAUUGUAUCUAAAAGAGUGUAAACAAAUUAUCUUUUAAAACGUUCUUCAGCGCCAAUAAAAAAUCUUGAUUUUUAUUUUAUCAAAAAAAGUUUUUCUACAUCGUACUCGUGGUUCUAUUAUAAUUGGUUUUAUAUCUAGACUGCUAUUUCUUUUGAAAAAUUAGAUAUAACUGCAUAUCUUGUUUCUCAAUAGUGUAGAAACCAUUUCUAUAUCCAAUGUAAACCCUUGCGUAUAUUUACUUACGAUAUUAACUUGAAAUAAUAAAUCGUAGGUACAAAACAUUUAAUUAAAUCAAUAUUUUAAAGUCGAGUAAUUGAUUUGCUAAACUAUUCGCUUCAUUUCUUAUACCAACAUCUGCCACCUUGAUGAUUCCGCAACUUCAAUUAAUGUAUCGUACACUUCUUUGGUUUGAUAUCGACUUGCUGUCUAUGCGAACUUCCCAACGGGUUGUACACAAUGGCUUAACCGUCAAGUUUGGUAAAUGCGAUUUUAGUACCUACUUGCCAACGGUAAACAGAAGGCAAAAACAAAAUAAUUAUCCGUUGUAAAAUUUCAAAAAGAACGAUAGAUUAUUUGGAUUGUGAAGCAUCAGAUGUAACAAGAUUAAGAAAAUGAUAACCACAGGGCAUAAAUGCUGCUUUAAGGUUUAAAGCUAAAAUUCUGGCUUGAACUCUAUUUUUACUACCUUUCAUAUUUGCGUGAUUGUCGUAACCCUUAAUCACGAUAGUUCAUUAUAUCAAGUUUGUUUUCUUUUAGCGUUUUCGGCAAUAAAUCAGUAAGAUUUUCUUCAGUAGAUUCAUUAACUUUUCUAAAAUCAAUAAAAUGCUAAGUUACUUGUACAUUUUCAUUAUCUUCAUCCACAAAUCUGAUUGUAAAGGGCAUUUUUUCAUCAGGAGUACAAUCUAAUAACACAGAAAAACAUUUUGCGUUCUGUAUUUUUUGCUGAAUAAUUUUUAAAACUUUGGAAGCCAUUAGAUAUAUAAGUUCAUUUAGAAUGAACUUGUAAGUGGUGUGUUAUCAUACGCCGCUCAGUAAUGAAUUUAUUUAUAAAUAGGUAAAUCGUAAUAGUAAAUACGUAAAUAUUAUCAAAAAAUAAUCGGUGAACCACUCGCGACUUUUACACGCACAAAGGAGGUGGUAUAAUAACCACCUUUAUUAUUUUUAAAUUUAAACCAGCAUGUUUCUUCAGCUAAAGCUAUAUUGGAUAAUACAUAAUAUUUUAAAUUAUGUAAAUUAUUGAUGAUUUUAUUCGUUUAUGUGUAUCAAAAGAUAAAUUAAAUUGAAAUAAUAUCCAGUUUGUCGCCCCUUACGCACUGGCACCCUGAGCAGUCGCCCACAUCGCCCAUAGCUUUCGUCGGCCCUGUCUGGAAAGUAAAAACCUGGAAUGUACAAAUCUUGAAAAUAAUUUUUCUAUUAAUCCAGUGUAACUAACUUUUGGGCCAAAACAUCUACGUCCGUGACCAAAACUCAAAAGCAGUUAUUUAAAAAAUAAUAAACAAAAACAACAUAUUAAUCCUACCUUAAUUUACACUAGAAUAGGUAUUAGGUUUUAUUGUUACGACUGGGACAUUAAUUUAAUACAAUUUCUCAAGUUUAUUAAUACAGACUUAGAAAUAUAAAAUACCCAAAAUAACAUUUACAUUAAUUCAGUUUUAGAAGAAUUACACAUAAAUACACGAUGAAAUAAAGAAAAAAAAUUUGAAUGUUUUAAAUGUUCAAACCGAUUUUAAGAAUAAUAUCUUAUAUUAAUACAUUUUAGAUAAUAAAUAACAAACAAACAAUUAAUAUUUCUUAACAUAUCUAUGUCUAAUAAUAACUCAUUUUAAAUAAUCUAUCCUAUUAAAAUAAAUUAUUUAUAUGUAAAACGACCAAUUUGUACAAUUUUUUUGCUAUGUAUUCCUUCAUUUAUUUUUUUAUAUUCAGUGGCGUUUUACUUUUUGACCUUGUGAUUUUACCUGAUGAUGAAUUGUUAAUUCGAAACCGAUCGUACAAUACAUAUUUCAUAAUACUCCAGGCGACGCAUUAAUUAAUUAAUUAAUUAUUUUAUUUAUUUAUAUAAUUAUUGGGUAUAAAUUUUCAAAAUUGUAUAUAGAAAUUUAGAUUUUAGAUUCUGAGUGGAGCUAUGAAGCUAAUGGUUUUACAAAGAUGUUUAUUUUUGGUACACUAUAUUCCAUAAGACUUUAACCUGCUCUGCGUGGUUAAGUUCACAAUUUCAUCGGCAAGUACCUUUUAUUAAAUACAAUAAAUAAAAUUAAUCUAAUUUACAUUAUUAUUGCCAAAAAUAGAAAUUUAAAGUGCUUAUAAAUUGAAUUUAUAUAAUG